ACUUAUGUAUUUAUAAGAGGAUCUAUUUUAGUAUCUUACAAGUUGUAAGAUAUUAAAAAGGACGACGAUUAUCUAUAUAUUUACAUGCAUCUGUAUAUUUAAUUGUAACAAAUUUUAGAUGACAGAUUUCUAAUCCCCAUGCAGUCCAUCCAGUGACCUUUCCAGUUCCAUACAUUAAAUUUAUCCUUUCUCCGUUCACUCUCCGUUUCUCGCUCCCGUAGAAACUCAAACGCCGUCUGUCUCUCCCCCUCUAAUUAUCCUUUAUCUAUAUCUCGGUCCAUUUAGUUUGCAACGACGUUAUCUCGGUAGCUCUCGGACGGGAUAGAGGUACCUCCUCCUAUCUUAUUACUCAAAGUGUUGGCCGGGGAAUGAAGGAGGUUGUAACGGUAGUUUCCUUUCGCGGCGUGCGUCUACCUAUUCUCUCUUGUUUCUGUCUCUCUCUCUCUCUCUCUCUCUCUCUCUCUCUCUCUCUCUCGCUGUCUCUCUCUUUCUCUCUCUCUUCCUCUCUUUCUUCGCAAUGGGCACUGACGUUGAGGGAUUAAACCAUUGCCAAUCCGACUCUAAUUACGAGUAACGGAUUAGUACGCGUGCACCCGGAAAGUGCCGAGCAAACGAGGAAACUUUCGCGGACAAGCUACGUACGGAUUCGCUCUCGCUCUUGUUCCUACUUUCACCCCAACCAAAUUUAACGCUUCUUUUCGAUCGGCACGACCUACCAACAAGCGACAGCUUAAAGAAUAAAUUACGACGAGACAAAAACAUCUGCAGCAACUUAAUUACUUUGAAGUAAAAGCAAUUGGCGGAAAGGAAUAUGCGAAUAAGACAAAGCGUUUGUUCCGCACCCAAUUCUAUUUUGUUACUCGGAAGAAAUAUACGCGGACGUGAAUCAAAAAGUUUGUACGCUUCUUCUAAGCAUUCUUGAACUCUUAGUAUAUCUUGCUUCAAAAAAUAGAAGAGAAUUACUGGUGAUUGCUAGCGCUCGAGAAGAGAAUAGGAUGGUUACUACGCCAUUGUCUGGAUAUGUCAGCAUUCAAGCUCUCUUCCCCUUCCUAUUCUACAACACUCUACCCUUUUACUACGUCUCUCUCUCUCUCUCUCUCUCUCUCUCUCUCUCUCUCUCUCUCCAUUUCAGCUCAUAUCCCUUAGCGUAUCUCGCGAGUACGACGACAACACUACGACACCAUCUUUGGCCAGGCAUUUUUGACUAAUGGUCCGUGAGCGAAACUGUUUGCCGCCAUUAUCGUAAGCCCUAGAUACUAGCUAGCGAGCAAUUUCAGGAGACUUCCAGUGUCCCUGCGUUCUUACGCGUCUUCCGCCUCAUCUCUUAAAGGUAUCGCUCGAAUGUCCAGCAGCUAUUGGAUCGUUCUACCACAUCGAAGAUAAGGAUCCUUGAACGACCGAUCCCGAACGUCGUUCGACCCUUAAAAUCUCGACCUCCAAGAGAAUUGGGCCCGAAGUACCGCGUGCACCACGUCCCGACGUGUUCAUGAUACUUUCUUACGUCCUUUCGGCAGUAGAAGCAGGCGUCGAAGGAAAAAGAUGAAGGUUUGUAAAAGGUAGAACGAGAUAAAAGACUUCAUCAAACUUUAUCAACAAAAUACGCGAGCAAAACGAAAUACUUCAAAAAUAAUAGGUUUACUUUAUACACGAAUUUUUUUUUUUUUUUUCGUACAACGUGGGACUUCUAAAAUCUGAAUUUGAGAAAUUAAGUCAUGAUAAUGGGCACACUUGAACGAUUAACAUUAUCAAACAAACGAUUGACAUUAUCAAAAGUAGCGCUCUUACCGCAGAAGCUUCUAUUCUUUUAAUAAAAGUUAUACUACCUGAAUGUUAUACUACUGAAAUGUUCUUAAAACGUAAAACGUUUGCAAACUUUUUUUUUGGACUUGUUCUUAUCUCUGUUUGUCUAUGUUACUUAAACAAAAAUCUGCAUGCCGAAUAUCAGAGUAUUUUAACAGAGUAAAAAAAAAAAAAAGCAAAAAAAUAAUAAUACAGUCAUUAGAGAAAGGAUUCUUUUUAGAAGAAAUAUACCUAUAACAUGCACAUUUAAACUGACGAAAGAAUUUGGCAUUUACUUACUUUCCACCAGAGUUCAUCGUUAGUUAAAAUAUCCAUCAUUUUUUUUUUUUUUUACUUGCAUAAAUGUAGAUCCGAAAUACUAAAAGCUUCGUACAGGUCGUUACCCGAAAUAGUUUCAGGAGUUUGACCGAUGAGAAGAUUUAUCUAACAUUUUCGUUGCCAUAGAUGACGCGUUGUUCAUUAUUCUCGUGAAGUUACAUGUCCAUUAAAAAGAUUAAUAUGAUGGAUACGUUUAUACGAGUGGUGUACACUGAGCGCUACAAGUUUUCAAAAAGCAAUCGAUCACUUAUAAAUUUACGUAGCGUGCAUCAGCGUGAAAAAUAUUAUGGAAGAUGCGUUGCGACAAACAUCUUACGACUGUUACUGAUUAUCUUAACUAUUAUUCAACGUUAUAUAAAUAUUCGUGGAUUUACAAAAAAUCAAUAUCUUGAAAUAUGAGUUACCAUAACAGCAAAGGAGUUGAUGUCCAAAAUGUUUUUCAAAAUAGGACCUUCUGUCGCAGAUACGUCAGAUGAUUUUCCAAGUAAUACAGAAGUCGCUUCGAAGGGUGAACUUGUGAUCUUGGAUCUCGAGUUACCCCUCGUCUUUUCAUCUUGCCAUCUCCCGUGGGAUGAUUUCACGGACUGCCGCGUAGGUCUAAUCUGGUAGAAUUUAAGAAAAGCAAUUUUCUUACUACCGACGAUAGAAGCCGAUAUCGAUUGGAGUCGAUGUUCGAUUUUCAAAGUGUGUACGCCACACGGAUUAAACGAGAAAAAGUAUCGCUAACUAGCUUUUCAUAACUUUAAAUUAAAAAUUAUAUAUGGGAUUGUAGAAAUGAGUAUCUACAUAAUUAUAAAAAAUGACAAAUUAUUUUAUAAAAUAGGAUAAAUAAUAAACUCUGAAGAAUUUGAAUUUGUCUCCCUGAUAUUCUUUGUACAUACUUACGUAUAUACGUUAUACCCUACUAAAAUUUCUGUACUUUCCUGGAGAGCGUACUGGAAGCCGUCGUUAUCGAUUUUAUCGUACUGUUGGGUAUUUCUCGACAGGUACUGAACCUUCAUCCCUUCUUCACCGCUCUACUUCAGCAUCUGCUUUCCUUUUCAACACGGGGCUAUCCCCUAAGCUGCAUUGUUGUUUCGAAAAAGCAACGAGAUAUUUGUUCUCCACAUUUAUCCUCUUCCUAUUAUUUACAUUGAAUUUUUAACAAACAUUUCUCGCGUAAUGUUUACUUUUUCGUAAAAAUAGAAUUUUGACCGAUGCUUAUGAUGGCAAGUAAAAUUCAUUUACAUACAUUAAGAUUUAUUUAUGAUUAUCUAGAAGGAUUAUACUUCAAUUAUAUUGAUCGUGUAUUUUUUACACAUCAAGUAACUUUAAUUCAUAAUGUGUAAAUAAUUGUUAAUCAUUUUAAGCGAAACAUAGGUAAAUAUUCCGACGUGGUAUCUAUCUUAGCCAGAAAGCACACUGAUCCUCUAUAAUGCCUUAUUUCACUAUCUUGAAAGUUUUCUUUCGAAGUGGAAAAAAAGAAGUGUUAUCUUCUCUCCUUUUCUUUAUCUCUCUCUCUCUCUCUCUCUCUCUCUCUCUCCCUCCUAACUAGCACGCAUCAAAAACUUCUUCCCCUAGAUGAUAGAGUUCCAAGCGAAAGAAAUUAGAUUUUUUUCUUUUUAAGAGCCAACAUUCUCGCAGAUCGAACUGCACCUUAAUGAACUCAAAGUGUAACUUCGUGCUUUUCGCAGCAACGGAAGUUGCAACAGAAAAGAGAGGAAUCGGCAGCAACCCAUCUGUGUUACUCACACCUACCUACUCUCUCUUUCUCUCUCUCUCUCUCUCUCUCUCUCUCUCUCUCUCUCUCUUCCUCUUCCUCAAACCCUCUUCUUUAUGUCGGGAUUGGUUUUAAAGGUUGGAAUAAAGUUCUCUCUGUCUUCGAAGAUGGUCUUGUAGACUUGCCGUUGAACAUACUGGCCGAAUCUGGAAAAAUGGAAUGUGAACAUGAGUGGUUGCACGUUUGAGAAACAAAAGUAUAUCCAAUGCUCGUUCUUUAGUGAACUCAUGUUCACGUUGUUUCGUAUAGCAUUACUUAUUCGAUGCCUUCUUCAGCCUCCUAGAUUGACCUAACUUUCUGGCCUACUUCCGUUACUAUGCCUGUAGAUAUUCCAGAACAUCUCGUAGACUUCGCGAAGAUAACAUAGUCUCUUCCUCUUAACUUGGUGAUCCUUUCCUGUCGGAUAAGACCUUAUCUAUACGGAAUACCUUCUCUAUGUAUAACAUGCACUGUGCGUGAACUUGUUGUCUCCAUUCAAACGUAUUAUUUUCUUAGAAACAUCAAGUUCUAUAUUAUUUUCAAAUGCAGAUUCUUCAAAUAGUUUUCAUUUAUUCCAAUUUGCCUUUCGUUUUAAGAUAUUCUUCAUGUAUCUUUUGUAAAAAAUAUCCCGUGGGUGAGCGCAUGUACGAAGAGAGACAGUUUCAUUAACUGAAAUAUAAUUAUUACAAUUUCCGACUCUACGUAUUAGUCAAUCCAAUAAAUUAUUAACUGAUAACAUGCCGAUACUUGUUCUUCGAUUAAACGAUCAAUUGAAACGUGAAACGUAUGCAAUCAAAUAGAUAGAUAUGCAUGUAGCUAACAAAUUAACUCAAUAAAUCUGUAGAACGCAAAAGAAAAUGUAUCAGCGGAUGAAGAAUUAGUCGUAUGCUUUCUUCAUUAUCCGGAAAAGAGAAGUAGUUCUUUUCUACAUUUUCUGGUUAGAUGGUCUUUUGCCCGUAGGUCAUCGAGCCAGAUAAUGAAACAUGCAAAUGGAAAUGAGGAGGUGCUAUGUCAAAUAAUAUUAUGAAUGUCCACAGAAAAGAGAGCGAGCGAACAGUCAAGCCGUCGUACCAGUACCUAUUUUCCGCUUCGCUUUUAGCAUCAUCCUUCGACCGAAGUGAUGUUUUUGCCAUCGCUGAAUUUUCACCACCCAACCACUUUUUCCUCCUCACUUCCUCCCCCUCUCUCUCUCUCUCUCCUCUCUCUCUCUCUUCUUCUCUCGUCAGCAUCAAAACUUUUCGCAAAACCUUCUAUAAAAACAUUCGACGAGUGAACAUACACCGAAGCACGAAUAAAAUGAUUUUUAAUGUUUUCUAUGCCGUUCCUAAAGAUCGAGCACUAUCCCACGGAAUCAUUUUAAUUUUCAAAGUGAACAUGUUUUAAAACGAAUUACAUUCCAUUGAAACAAUGUACGACAAAGGAUGCAGUGCGGUUUCACUGUUUUUCCGAAGUCUCGAAAAUUUAGUUGAAAUCAAACAAGGUCGCAUUGAUUCGUACGAUUUUAAAAGAUGAGAGUGUACUCUCAUAAGUUCAAAAGCAGAACGGGCGGGGGUUACAGAAAUAUUUUCAGUAUUCAAGGGUGCUUUUCGUAUAUUCGACAUCACCUUGUUCGGUGAAACAAGUUUGUUGUUUGAUCAGUAACAUUAUUUCGCGAAUACCUGAAAGUUCUCUCUCUCUCUCUCCCUCUCUUUCUAUAUAUAUAUAUAUAUAUACAUAUAUAUAUAUAUUAUUGAACUAUAUACACCACAUGUUAUUAGUAUAUCUAUCAUAUCAGAUAUACAUACUUGUGUAUCAUGGAAAAAGCGGGAUACGACAUUCUCCGAUAUAUACCUUGUCCAACGAUCCACGGCAGAAUGCGUCCAAAAGCAUUCUCCGUAAACUAUUUUGCAAAGAGUCAUACAUUGGGAAUUCAAUAUUUCCCUACAGACGUCACGGCCGGUAUCGCCAUGGUUACGGCUUCAGUCAUGCGGAUUGCUUUCUUCUUUCUUUAUAUCCUCAUUGUUUGAUGUCGUUUCUCUUAGCGGGUUUCUCAUUCAACCUUCCAAUGUGAUACCAGUUUCAUUGGGUAUCGCCUUACAAAUGUUCUCUCCACCCAUCCAACGCCACGGUACCCACCUCUUUUGUCCGCAUAUUAUAUCAAAUCUAUCAAUUUAUAUACGUAUGUCUAAUGAUCUUCCAGAAAGUCUUCCUACAAGUCGAACGGAGAAAUCAGAUACUCAGUAAUAAAUAUUAUACUAUAUUCCUUGUGUCAUCACUGUUAGACGUCUACGGUGUUAAACAUAGAAAUUGACGAAAACAUAUGAUACGUAAUAGAAGUGAGGAAGAAGAUAAGUCUAGAAGAAAAAAGAUAGAGGAGGAAUAGAUGUAAGGAUAGAUUCGCGUAACUCGGUUUAAAAAGUGAACGAGCACGUUUCCAAAGGAAUGAACUCGACUCACCCGCAUACCGAAUUUUAACUCUUUUCCGAAACUAGUUCUGACUGCGAACGGUACCAUAACUCGAGCGCUUGUGGAACAUGAAAGCUGAGUGGAAAGAGGGAUGAGCAAGAAGAAGAAGAAGAAGAAGAGGAAAUAAGGAAGCGGGAGUGGAGAAGAGGGGAACGUUGAAUCGUCGAGAAACCAAACUUUAACAACACAGUAUAGAUGUACACGUGCAUGAGGCGGCGUGAAAGAAGAGAUCCUCUUUCCGCCUUUCCUUCAAUUUCACUGUCUCCGUGCUUUCUCUCUCUCUCUCUCUCUCUCUCUCUCUCUCCCCCUCUCCCUCUAUUUCUCUUACCCUUUUCUUCUGCCAUCAGUUCCGCUUUUCCUUUACUACGUACCAAUAUACGAGCGCAUAGACGAAGCGAAGUCUGAUACCAGUGGUAAAUCAGUUCGUCUUACCUGCUUUGGAAGUCAGACCGAUUCGAGCGGCAUUGUUCGGCAAACAGUAAUUCAUUAAAUUCUAUGACUCUAUGAGACGUGAAUGCAUCCGCCUUGCUAACUUUGAGGACAUCCUUUCCCUGCUUUCUCUUCCUUCAAUACCGUACUAUCUGCAAUACGGUUCUGCUCGUUCGUCUUUCCCACCCCCAACUUACUCCCUUCCUCAGUUACCGUCAUCAUCUUUCUUCAGUCCCUUUCUCUCUCUCUCUCUCUCUCUCUCUCUCUCUCUCUCUUGUUCACCCUUCAUACCAUCGCCAUUCGUCGUCGUCUCGACGCUCCAACAUGACAUUACUACUACCAAGCGAGAACUUUGACGAGUAACUUGAAGUAUUCCACUAGCAGUGCAGCAUCGCAAUCAUGACCCGCUUUCACGCAAAUUACUCCGCCACGUUCGGAAACACCGAGUUUCUACGGGGAGGCGAAAGACAACAGACUCUUGUCCUUGAAACUCCUUGUCGUCGAAUUGUAAUCGACGCGGAAAAUCCAUUUAUUGGGGCGUCUAAUAAUUUCUAAUUUGAAGAAAUGGUGUUAAUGGCGGUCCAAUGCUGUUACAUGACGACUUACGAAUUCAAUGCGUUACACGCCAUCGUGAAAAUCUACGAGGACGGUUAUAAUAGAUAAGUUGUUCCGUAUCAAUUAUUAUUCUACAAUGCAAAUUAGUAUUAUCAUUAUUGUAAUGAGCUGUUGCAUAAAAUUAUAAUGAAAUCUAAUUUUAGUUAAAUAAGUGAUUCCAGUGGAAGAGAAUUGAACAUAUUAAAUUAAAUUGAGUUAGUGUUAUUUAUCGUUACAUAAUAAAUGGCGUUGCAAAAAUAAGUUAAAAGUUUUGGAACUUUUGAGUAAUAAAAAAAAUCAGUCUGUCUUGUACAAGGCGUCGUUUCGUUAAAAAGUCAUUCUAAUUCACGUUCUUCGAUAUUAAACACUGCUAUUAUUUUCAUUUCUUAAUUGAUAUUUACGUAAUUUAGUUUAUCUCAUUUUUUGUUGCCGUCAUUGCUCUUUGAUUAUUAACCCAACUAAGGCAGACUACAUCGACAAUGACGAGAGAAGAAGUAACAGUCAAAGUUGAAAAUGGAACACGAUAUAAAUAAUACAUAUUGCUUGCGGCAAGAUCACUUGUCUAGAGAGAGGAAUUUGAGGUCUCCGAGAUGUAAGCGAGAAGAAGAGAAAAAAGACGGAAAGGGAGACACACAAACGUAAUACGAAGCAGAAAGAGAAGCGAAACUUAAGAGAAAAGGUACGACAAUGAAAAGAAAACAACGUAAGAAAGAAGAAAGGCAAAAGAUGGAAUGGGCUAUGAAAAGAGUGAGAGGAAUAUCGGGAGAGAAGGGGAAUGGAAGUCCUUGCUCGUGGAAUAAGUAUUCAUCGUCUUACCAGGUAAUUGGAUUGCGCGCGCUUCCUUUACCACCUGAUGAGGAUUUAUUAUUUAAAUCAAAUGUUUUGAGGAAGCUUCUUAUAUUCGAACAGGUCGCCGUCGAUAGCAAGCGCUUCCACCAUUACAAAUCUUUUCUCUUUCUUUCUCUCUCUCUCUCUCUCUUUCUCUCGUUCUGGCUUUCUUUUUCGCUAUUUGAUAUUCCACCGAUAGUCAGGAAUUAAAAGUAUAUUGAAUGAAAGUAUCGUAGAAUUAAAAUAGAGCUACUCUUUUGCAGCGCAAUUUUUGACAAAUUCACGGAAGAGAAUUUCGCAGAUCGAAAGGUUAAAUUCCGGACGUUUAUAAAUUUUACAGGUGGCUUUUGAAAAACUUUGACGCGAGAAGCAACGAUUUUGGCGUAAAAAAUUCCCCAACGAUUAGCGGGGCUCGUGUUUUUCCUGGAAAACAUCGGCGCCCAAGCGAUUCCGAAACUGUGGAAAAAUCACAAAAGCCGAUAAAAGUAGUAUUUUUGUACAAUACUGCACGGAAAAUGAAGCGUACGCUCGGCAUUAUUCGUGCGCGCACCUGACUGAUACGCUUGUCAUGUUUAGAGCCUGUAAAUUUUACAACUCGCUUUGUCAGGACCACUGCAAGCAGUAACCGUUCGUGCGUGUAUUUUUUAACGUAGAAUCCAAUGAUGCUCGAUUUUUUAAUACCCUGUAGCUUUCGAUAUCAAUCGUUUCGAUUAUAGAAUCAUAGACUGCGUUUUCAUACUCAAAAAUUAUAUAGCCAUUUUAUAGUUUGAAAAUGUCUUAUGCUAUAAUGAAUUACAAUAUGUGUAAGUAUAUUCUAGCGGAAUAUAUUUAGACACAAAUGUCAUAGAUUGUUGAAUGGCCAUGUGACCCCUACGUUUUUGUUCUAUGUUUUAUUCCUUAUAACUUUAUAUAUCAGUCAGUCGAAGUCGCAGUCGCAGUCGAAUCGUGGCAGAGAAAAGAUCGUGCGGGAUAAAAAUCUAAUAGUUUACCCUUCUUUUUUUCCAUUUAAUAUAAUUACUUUUUUAUAUGAAACAACAUGAAAGCAUAUCGAUUCUGUUUCAAAUAUAAUCAAAAGAUUUACACUGUAACAUUAUCAACAAACAUCAUUAGCGAAUGAACAAGUUUCCGUACUAUGUUACGAAUGCUUGAAAUAACUACAAAGGACAAAGUCAAGAAUGUACUAAUUGAAGGGCUAAGAUCACGAAGCUGACGGUGAAGUCGACUUCAUCUCUCUCUCUCUCUCUCUCUCUCUCUCUCUCUCUGUAUAUAUAUAUAUAUAUUUAUAUUAUCUAUCUAACUCGAUGUUACGCAUUGAACGUGUACGGGAAUUUUCGUAAAAUAGAAAUUAAAUUUAUGGUUAAUGAUAACUCCAUAAUAAAACCAUUAUUCCGCGGCGCAUUGCGUACGGUCAUCACUUGGAAAGGGAGCUAUUGAAAGAGGAAGAGAACUGGAGUGGAAGGCAAAAAGAGAGGGAGAGAUAUAAAUUCGGAGAGGGAAAGGACAAGAGACAGGACAAACCAGGGAAUGCGUUAUCGUCUGCAGCCAGCUGACAAAUCGAAGGUAAUAGGGCCGAGCGAAAUCCUGAGUGAUAGAACGAAUGGGAACACCUGCAUUUAGUAGGUACCUGGUUACAUCCAUAUAUAUAUAUAUCUCGUUAAUCGUCUAAAAAUGAAAUUGGAAACUUGAAUAUUUUCCUUAGACAAUAUUUUAGUUCACGGUAAUAAAAAUGCUAUUAAUUGUAAAUAUAUCAUAAUUUAUGCAAGCCAAACAUGAUUGAAAGUAAAAAAUAUAAAACGCGUUCUAUACAUUUUUGUAGAUAGAAAAAAGAAAGGAAACCGUUCUUCUCCGAGGUGAAUCUUCUAACACCUAUUUUUACCGAAAUCCGAUAAAGUAAAGUUAAUCAAGGAAAUAAGCCUAAGAGAAGGAGAGCAGGCAAGCAAAAGGAUGGAAGUAGAAGGUCGAGCUUAAGGAGGCGCCCAAAGUAAGAAUCACGAGCGCAUGCAAGCCAGAAGAAAGGUGGGUAGAAGUAGUAUCCACCCCUGAGUAGUGGUGGUAGUUGAACUCGGUGGCAGGACAACGCGAAUAACUGUUGCCUGUAGGAGCGCGACGACGCGGCAUCACGCCAGAAAGCCGUACUCGGGCACGACCCACGACCCCCCGCAUUUUCCAAGCUGUGUUCUGGCAUAGGCCGCGGUAGUAGGCCGACGCAGCCCAUCGCCAAUGAGUGCAUGUCUGGGGCGGAGCAUGCCUGACAUGAGAGAGAAAGAGAGAGAAAGAGAGAGAGAGAGAUGGGGGGGGGGCAGGGGGGAAGGAGAGACAGAAAGAGAGUAGAUGCCAAGUAAGUACCUACAAACGACGAGAGUGACUUCGCCAAGUGCGGUUGCGAUUUCGACCUACUCUCCGUGACUACUUCGUCAUCUUCCACAAAUUUUUCCUCUACAACGAACACAUUUUUCUUUUGUUCUGCCUAGCCUUUUUGGUUCGAUCUUCAUAACUUUCAGAAAGUCAUUUAGCGAUUUACUUUGUUUAAAAAAGUUGAUCUGUCGUCGUCAAUUGUUUUGCUUACGCCAUUACAUCUUAUUUUUAAAUACAUUCAUUCAUAAGGGAACAAUCCUGCAUAGUUUUUAACACGAUAGUUUUUCUCAUGUAUUUGCACCAUAUAUAACUGAGAGUUAGAGAACUAAUCAAAUAAACACUUAGGGAAGCAAUUAUCAAUGAGCAGAAAAAUACAUUCGUGCCUAUGACUGAACUGAAUUAUAGUUGAAGAUUACGAAGAAUAGUAGGAAGAUGAGUAGUGAAGUGGGAGGCGAGAGACGACGGACAUAAACGUGACCUAGUUACACUAUUGACCUGUUGACGAUGGUUGGUAAUAGACGAAGGAUUGAAAGUGGUGGCCGAGGGAUAAAGAGAAAGUAGGUGCUGAGAGGAAUGGUGGUAAAAGAGAAAGAAGGUAUGAGAGAGAUCGAGAGAGAUGGCGACCGAUAGUGGUAAUGCUUGGAGCGGGAUGCACUUGACGCAUCAGAGUACAAAGUGAGAAUGAGAGAGAGAGAGAGAGAGAGAGAGAGAGAGAGAGAGAGAGAGAGAGAGACUGCCGCAUGCAGUCCCAGCGCGCGCAGCCUAUCGUCCUACCAUGCGCGCGCGCGCACAUACAUACGCCAUGGCGUAGGACAACCUCUCUGACUAAAUCGAAAAUUCAUCUAUACUUUAUGUCAUCUUUCCCUUGAAACCAAUUACUCUAUUCAACAAACAUACUUACACAUUGAUAUGCUAUCUUUCUUCUCACUUUAAUAAUUGUAAUUGAUUAUUAAAAAUUUCAAUUGUUAAUAAUUUUAUCUGUCGAUUGACACACUUUAAUUUGAAAAAGCAAAUAUGUUAUUCCGAUCAAGUAUAGAUUUUAAAUCGAUGGACUAUUCGUCAAACAUUACAUCUCAAUUAGAUAAGUCACUUCCUUAAUUCUCCAGAAAUGUGGUAAAACAAAGAGAAAAAAGGAAUAAAAUGAAAAAGAAAUAUAAAGUGAGAAAUUCCAGUGGGCGGCAGAGAGGGGGAUAAAACGACAGGGUAGUCACAUCGAGAGGAUGGAAAGGAGGCGAGAUGGUGGCGAAUCGUCAGAGAUAUAUGAUGGAGGAGAAAAUAUUGAAAGAGUGACGAGGAAGAAGAAGACGAGUGAAAGAGUAGGUAGAAGAAAAAGAGGAAGUGAAGAAGAGGAUGGCAGGACUUCUCAAUGGAGUAAGGGAUAAAAAGCAAAUACGUUUCACUCACUCGCGUUUUCCGUUAGCAAAUUCAAUCUCGUCGGGACUCCCUUUAACAUUGUGCUCGUAAUAGGGAGGAUGAAGAAGGGCCAAAGGAGAGGUUGAAGAGCGAGGAGUGAAACACGAGAAAGAGAAAAAGAAAGAGAGAGAGAGAGAGAGAGAGAGAGAGAAAGAGAGAGAGAGAAAGGAAAAGUGUGCAAGGGGGCAGGUGUCGCCCGUAUAACGACUUUAUCACACCCUUGGAACCCACCCCUACCGUUAUCCCGCAUUUUCUCUCUCUCCCUCUCCCUCUUUCUCUCUCUUUCUUCCAAUUUUUUCUCUUCCUUUUCUUUCUCGCUUUCUCAACCUUCUUCACUUUCUUAACUCGGCACACCACUCACACUUCAGCGUCGACUAUUAUCGACUUUGACCGAGCUCAGAGUCGGUUCACCUUUAAGCUAGCCAACUGUAGUCAGUCAGAGUUAGAGAGUGGAUAAUGCGAUAUCUACUCUUUAGCGGAAGAUAUCAAUAAAAUUGGAUAGUUCAAAGCAUCCUCCGAAAGUCUCAAAUUUUUUGAACCUCUAUUCAAUAUGUGCUUCUAUUUUCCUAAUAUAUUCUGAAGCAAAAAUAUGAAAUUUCUUUAUGUUCUUCUUCACGAUUAAUCGUCAGAAAUCGACGAAAUAGAAUUUACACGAUAAUUAACGCGACCUCUUUUACUUAAAAAAGAUAAUUUUAUCGGUACAAACUUUCGAUUGCAUUGUCUAAUUACAACAAGAAAGUAGAGACAGUCUCAUUAAAAGUACGGGACCAAAGUCUUUGUAAUUUAAAAAAGAAUCUUACUUCGACGCGCCCAAUUAAUAAAAAUCUGUCAAGUCAGGGCUGGUCAAGAUCCAUGUAAAAAAAUAAAAAAAUAAGAAUGUAAGAGGAAAUAUAGAUAGAAAGAGAAAGAGAGAGGGAAAAGAGGGAGGGAGGGAAAAAAGAAAAAAUAAAGCGAGGCAAAGACUAAGGGAAAAAUAAGUGCAAAAAAGAAAGAGAGCAAAGGAAAAAGUCUUCAGUCGGACGGACCACCAGGCUCGUUAAAACUUGCCUUAUUAACAUUUUUCAUACGCGGAUGCCUCCCGGAAUGUUGAGAAGUUUAUUUAAGUGGGCAGACGAAGGUUGCGCCAACUUAAGCCUUGGAUUCAGAGCCAAGUUAUGAAAGUUCGUGUAUACUGGCGAUUUUACGGAUAAUGAAAUUAUAUCUAUUACUAAAUUAAACUUAACGAUCCUUACCAUUGUAAAAUUUAUCGAUUUUUCUACAGGAUAAUUUAGUUUAAUCAACUUUUGAUCUUGACAAUAAAAAAAAAAAAAAAAAUUCAAAUAUCGACUUUUAAGUUUUUUUUAAGGCUAGCAUUGAAACGCAACUAGAAUGGUUUAUGGCCAGAGGAUGGAAUUUCGAAAUCAAGCAUUAGUGCGAGUCUUCGGUGUAUUAAGCGGACCUAACUUGAGCGUGUUAAACAAGUACGUCCAUUAAUCAGGCGAAACUCACAAGUAACUUGACCUAUGCGACACUGAUGCCAUAGGACGGGUUUCCGUCGGAGGCUGGAACAGCGUCUCCUUCGCUAUCGUCUGCCUUCCCUUUCUCUUCUUACCCAGUAUCACCUCAUAGAGGGUCCAUUUGUUAUGCCCAGGUGACACUCAAUUAUGUUCCGCAAAAGGGUUGCAAGACUCUCGAGAAAGACAGCAGCUAACUAGCCCAGAAACUUUCUCCGAACAACAUAGUCACACACUUACUAAGAGUUGUAUUACCAAGAAAGAAAGUGCAUCAAAUUGCGACGAGAUCUGGGAGAGAAAGGGAUUUACUUCAUCAUUAUAUUAAAAUAUAUUGCUGUUAAAAUUACUAUCAGAAUAUGAAACUAAAAUUAUUGUUUUACAGUUUUAUAGUAUAAGAUUUUUAAUGAUCAAAAAUUCAGAAGAUUCCAUCGACGAAAAUUUUGCGAUCCAAGAGAUACGUCGAGGAGUACGAUUGAAAAUCGAAAAAUUAAACUUGAGAUAAGCACCGGAGUUUUAUACUUCACCGAAAAUGUAUCUUUACACGGUAUAAAAUUCUGAUUAAUAUACAAUAUUUAUGUGUGCAAAGCAUCACGACUGGAUAUCAUUUUAGAAUCGUCUUCAAUUAAUACCUAAAAUAAAAUCAACAGUUUCUAAGAAAAAAAGAGAAUCAA
Molecule: long non-coding RNA, 14084 nt
Organism: Vespa crabro (European hornet)
Lineage: Eukaryota; Metazoa; Arthropoda; Insecta; Hymenoptera; Vespidae
Exons: 2
Source: RefSeq, a predicted model, not a curated record